This 718-nucleotide ribosomal RNA is filed under the name uncultured fungus. Its description in RNAcentral is "bacterial SSU rRNA". It matches the Rfam family "Eukaryotic small subunit ribosomal RNA", at positions 223 to 939 of the family's 1831-position model. Lineage: Eukaryota; Fungi. The record is from RNAcentral.
UAAACCCGGCACGGUCUUUGGUGAUUCAUAGUAACUUUUCGAAUCGCAUGACUUUACAGUCGGCGAUGGUUCAUUCAAAUUUCUGCCCUAUCAAGUUUCGAUGGUAGGAUAGAGGCCUACCAUGCUUUUUACGGGUAACGGCGAAUUAGGGUUCGAUUCCGGAGAGGGAGCCUGAGAAACGGCUACCACAUCUAAGGAAGGCAGCAGGCGCGCAAAUUACCCAAUCCUGAUUCAGGGAGGUAGUGACAAUAAAUAACAAUCCAGGACUUCGGUCUUGGAAUUGGAAUGAGAACAAUUUAAAUCUCUUAUCGAGGAACAAUUGGAGGGCAAGUCUGGUGCCAGCAGCCGCGGUAAUUCCAGCUCCAAUAGCGUAUAUUAAAGUUGUUGCAGUUAAAUAGCUCGUAGUUGAAUCUUGGGGCUGGUUUGGCGGUUCGACGUCUUUGACGUGUACUGUCGGCCGGUUCUUUUACUUGUGGGGAACGUAUGUGCCCUUUGCGGGGUGUGUACGGGAACCAUGGCUGUUACUUUGAAAAAAUUAGAGUGUUUAAAGCGGGCGUAAGCUUUGUAUACAUUUAGCAUGGGAUAAUAGGAAAUAGGGACUUUUGGUUUAAUUAAGAGGGUACUAAGGGCCGAAGUAAUUGGAUUAAUAAGGGGAUAGUUGGGGGGCAAUUAAGGUAUUUUAAUAGUUCAAAGGGUUGAAAAUUCCCUUGGGGAUUAA